GACGAACGCUGGCGGCGUGCUUAACACAUGCAAGUCGAGCGAGGGUGUCUCUGUCCUUUUGGGUGGGGGUGUUCGAGCGGCGAACGGGUGAGUAACACGUGAGUAAUCUGCCCUUCACUUGGGGAUAACUUCCGGAAACGGUGGCUAAUACCCGAUAUGACCAUGCGCUGCCUGGUGUGUGGUGGAAAGAGUUUUUGGUGGGGGAUGUGCUCGCAGCCUAUCAGCUUGUUGGGGGGUAAUGGCCUACCAAGGCUUCGACGGGUAGCCGGCCUGAGAGGGUGGACGGCCACACUGGGACUGAGACACGGCCCAGACUCCUACGGGAGGCAGCAGUGGGGAAUAUUGGACAAUGGGCGGAAGCCUGAUCCAGCAACGCCGCGUGGGGAUGACGGCCUCGG
RNAcentral lists this ribosomal RNA (398 nucleotides) under uncultured bacterium. RNAcentral's name for it is "bacterial SSU rRNA". It matches the Rfam family "Bacterial small subunit ribosomal RNA", at positions 28 to 420 of the family's 1533-position model. The record is from RNAcentral.